Molecule: ribosomal RNA, 253 nt
Filed under: uncultured bacterium
Lineage: Bacteria
Description: partial 16S ribosomal RNA
Rfam family: Bacterial small subunit ribosomal RNA
Source: RNAcentral
GACAGAGGGUGCAAACGUUGUUCGGAAUUACUGGGCGUAAAGCGCACGUAGGCGGACUCUUAAGUCAGGGGUGAAAUCCUGGAGCUCAACUCCAGAACUGCCUUUGAUACUGGGAGUCUUGAGUUCGGGAGAGGUGAGUGGAACUGCGAGUGUAGAGGUGAAAUUCGUAGAUAUUCGGAGGAACACCAGAAGCGAAGGCGGCUCACUGGCCCGAUACUGACGCUGAGGCGCGAAAGCGUGGGGAGCAAACAGG